RNA transcript from Vigna unguiculata (cowpea), 3854 nucleotides. RefSeq lists it as uncharacterized. NCBI's taxonomy places the organism in Eukaryota, Viridiplantae, Streptophyta, Magnoliopsida, Fabales, Fabaceae. The record is from RefSeq and is a predicted model, not a curated record.
UUCUUCAGGUUCAAAUCCUUUAUACCACUUUCCAAAAACCAGAACAAAUUACAACUCCGUUAAACUUAACAAUGAUCCCCAAACUGUUCCUUAACCCUCGUCUUCUCCCAACUUCAUCUUCCACCACCGUUUAUGGUUUACACAAAUCAGCUUCUGCUUCUGCUUCAACCUCCCACACUCCUCACUCUCUAUCCGAUGCCGUUUCCCUCUUUCACCGCACCAUCAACGGCCCCAAUUCGCCACCCUCCGAACCAGCAUGCAACUCUCUCAUCGACAACCUAUGCAAGGCACGACAACACGAUGUCGUCGUGUCGGUUUACCGCAAGAUGGCUUUCGCACGCAUUUCGCCCUCCUUCAUUUCUCUCGCCGCGUUAUCCGAAAGUUUCGUCAACACCCGUCACCCAAAUUUCGCCGUUGGAGUCCUUGGCCUCAUGAUAAAACACGGUUUUUGGGUUGGCGUCUAUAACAUUAACCUCGUGUUGAAGGGUUUUUCCCAGAGUGGUCAAUGCGACAAGGCAAUGGAUUUUUUUUCUCAAAUGAAGAAAAAUAGUGAUCACGUGGCUCCUAAUAUUGUUACUUACAAUACCCUGAUAACUGGAUUGUGUAAAGCUAAAAGAUUGGUGGAAGCUAGGGCUUUGUUUGAGGAAAUGAAGGUUGGGGAGAACAAACCCGAUUCGGUGACAUAUAAUGUUUUGAUUGAUUAUUUUUGUAAGAAUGGUGAAGCUUGUGAGGGGUUGAUUUUGUUGGAGGAGAUGGAGAGGGAGGGUUUGAAAGCUGAUGCUUUUCUGUAUAGUUCCCUAAUCAGUUACUUUUGUGGCCAGGGUGAUGUUGAGAGGGCGAGGGAACUGUUUGAUGAUAUGUUGAGGAAUAGGGUUAGUCCCUGUGUGGUUACAUAUAGUUCUUUGAUGCAUGGUCUUAGCAAGAUUGGUCGGUGGCGAGAGGCGUCUGACAUGUUGAAGGACAUGACAGCACGAGGACUUCGGCCGGAUGUUGUUACUUACUCGGUUUUGGUUGAUGGGCUUUGCAAAAAUGGGAGGUCGGAGGAUGCAAUUAAGGUGUUGGAUAUGAUGGAGCAGAGGGGGGAGGAGCCAAAUACUUUGACAUACAAUGCUGUUGUGAAUGGACUUUGUAAGGAGCGUAGGGUGGAGGAUGCAUUUAGGAUUGUGGAAAUGAUGGCGAAGAAGGGGAAGAAGCCUGAUGUGGUAACUUAUAAUACGUUGAUGAAAGGGUUGUGUGGAGCUGGGAAAGUUGAUGAGGCGAUGGAUCUUUUGAAGGUGUUGAUGAGCGACAAGUUCCAUAUGAAGCCGAAUGUCCGCACUUUUAAUUAUUUAAUUCAGGGACUUUGCAAUAAAGGACGUCUUCCUGAUGCUGUGAGGGUCCAUUCUACUAUGGUUGAAAUGGGGUUCCUAGGUAACAUAGUAACUUAUACUAUUCUGAUUGAGGGUUAUCUAAGUGUCCGCAAACUCAUUAAGGCGUUGGAACUCUGGAAAUGUGCAGUAGACUCUGGAUUUUCUCCCAAUGCAAUAACUUACAAAGUUUUGAUUAUUGGUCUGUGCAAAAUGCAGAUGCUGAGUAUUGCAAAAGGACUUUUUAUUAAAAUGAAAGAUUAUGGGAUUAAACCUACAGUAGUUUAUUACAAUGCACUAAUGGCUUCUUUGUGCAGGGAAGAUAGUCUAGAGCAGGCUAGGAGUUUAUUUCAAGAAAUGAGAAAUUUGAAUCAUGAUGUUGAUGUUGUCUCCUUUAAUAUAAUAAUUAAUGGAGCCCUCAGAGCAGGAGAUACUAAACAUGCCAAGGAACUGCUAUCGGAGAUGCUUAACAUGGAUUUGAUCCCUAAUGUUGUAACCUUUUCUAUAUUAAUAAAUAGUUUCUCUAAACUUGGGCUGUUGGAUGAAGCCAUGUCCCUCUACGAGAAAAUGGUCUCGUCUGGUCUUGUACCGGAUGUUUGUGUAUUCGUUACUUUGCUAAAGGGCUGUGGUUCAAAGGGAGAUACAAAAAAAUUCAUUUCCUUGCUUCAUCAAAUGGCUGAUAAGAAUGUUGUUCUGAACUCAACACUAACAUCUACCAUCUUAGAGUGUCUUUGUCUCAUGCCAAGUGAUCUUGAUGUAGAGAAGAUUCUUCCAAAAUUUUCACAGCAUAGUGAACUUACAUCAAAAGGAACAACGAAUAAAUGCGACGAGUUCUUGAUGAAGCUGAAUGAUGUUCAUCCAGAACUAAAGUUAUUUGUUGCACAAUAAUGUGUGUUUUCAAGUGCAUGAUACCAUGGUACUCUAGUAAGUUCUUUACAUGUCUUUCAUUAAAUCAGUUACGUUGCAUCUUUUAUCUACUUUUAUAUCUCAGGUUAAAUUGUAAAACUAUAAAGAUCAGUUGGUUUCAUUUUAGAGUAUGUGUGCGUAUGCUGGGAGGGUCAGGGAUCACUGUUAAAUCGAAUGAGCCCAUCCCUUUGGCCUAUCAUUUAUUUAUGAUGGGUUGAUCUGGCUCCUGCAUCUCCAUGGGGCCCUAUCAUACAAGUUCCUUGGAGUCCCUUAAGUUGAACCAAUAGAAGUCGCCAUAGAACUAAACAGGAUCAUCAAUUGAUGAUCUAUUGUUCCCUCUUAGUUGUAGAUGCCCAUGUUUUGAAUAGCCCAAUGAUGAAUCCCCAAUAAGAUCGGAGUCUUCCAUUCCUCCUUCCUUUAGUUUAGUUUGAACCUGUCCCAACAAUGAAGACAUUUCUUUUGCAAGGUGAGGUCUUCCAUUCCUCCUUCCUUUAAUUUAGUUUGAACCUGUCCCAGCAAUGAAGACAUUUCUUUUGCAAGGUGAGGCUUCGUCCUUCCCCUAGAAUUCACUCCAGGCUUUGAGGAUUAGGAGCUGCUAGUCCAACAUUUGAGCAAGCUACUUUACCUCACCGUGAGAUGAGAGGGAAGGUCGAUUUGGUGACUUACAUCAUUGUAUUUACCAAAUGAUGACAAAUAAAUGAUUUAAAUAUUUUGAUUGGACAGAGGGAUUGGUAACCUGACAGUUAUGGAGUUUUGAGGUCAUGCGCAUUUCAACCAGUUGCCAUUUUAUGGUAAAGAUAUGCAACUGUGAAGUUCUGCAUCAUGGUAUACGAUGCCGCAUUUGAUACUGAUGCAUAACCAGUCCAUGAAUGAGAUUUGUAAAAUGUCUUCUUACAGAGGGCCCUGGUCAACUCAUUUGUUAGUGGCCAAAACGCACCUUUUGUUAAAAAAAAGGAGCUGCCCAUUCUGAUGCAGAACCACGAGAAUCACAAAGAGGAGCACUCCUUUCGAGAGAAAAUCUGAUGCACGAACCCUUGAUGCACCAGAAAAAUCCUGAUUCGAAGGAGACACACGCUGAUUCGUGAUCAAGGAAAGCAAUUUAUAGGCUGAUGCGUGAUGAGAUCAUGGUAGAUUCAAAAUGGACGGACUAGAAAAGAUCAAGGCUGAUCAAGGGUGCCAUGAAUUGGGUGCAAGGACUGUAAUUUUGGUUCUAGAGCAAGAGAAAUCGGGUUAGGUUUUUUCGUGUAGUUUUCUGAGAUUCCUUUGGGGAUUUUUAAGGGAGGAAUUUAGGUUUUUCGGGAAGAGCCCUGGUUUGCGUGAGAAGAGAGAAAUGUUAGGACGCUAGGAUUUGACAGUUUGCUGAGGGAUAGAGAAUCAUUUUGUAAGGGGGAUUCCACUUCUCCAACGAGUACAAAGCAGCUGGCAGGAAUUGGGUUUCCUCUAGUUUGUUAGGCAACUCCUUAGUUCAUCCACGAGCACAAAGUGGGCGGAGCUGUGCUGAGUGGGAUCCCUACACCAUUUUAAUUGGUAGACUUCUCUGUAUCUCAUGUAUUCUGUUUCUGAUUCACAUAUGAAAUACAAUGUUUCCAUUUCAAUCUGAUU